Molecule: ribosomal RNA, 654 nt
Filed under: uncultured archaeon
Lineage: Archaea
Description: bacterial SSU rRNA
Rfam family: Archaeal small subunit ribosomal RNA
Source: RNAcentral
GCCUAAAGCGUCCGUAGCCGGCUUUGUAAGUUUUCGGUUAAAUCUAUAUGCUCAACAUAUAGGCUGCCGGAAAUACUGUAAAGCUAGGGAGUGGGAGAGGUAGACGGUACUCCGUAGGAAGGGGUAAAAUCCUUUGAUCUAUGGAUGACCACCUGUGGCGAAGGCGGUCUACCAGAACACGUCCGACGGUGAGGGAUGAAAGCUGGGGGAGCAAACCGGAUUAGAUACCCGGGUAGUCCCAGCUGUAAACUAUGCAAACUCAGUGAUGCAUUGGCUUGUGGCCAGUGCAGUGCCGCAGAGAAGUCGUUAAGUUUGCCGCCUGGGAAGUACGUACGCAAGUAUGAAACUUAAAGGAAUUGGCGGGGGAGCACCACAAGGGGUGAAGCCUGCGGUUCAAUUGGAGUCAACGCCAGAAAUCUUACCCGGAGAGACAGCAGGAUGAAGGUCAAGCUGAAGACUUUACCAGACAAGCUGAGAAGUGGUGCAUGGCCGUCGCCAGCUCGUGCCGUGAGGUGUCCUGUUAAGUCAGGUAACGAGCGAGAUCCUUGCCUCUAGCUGCCACCAUUACUCUCAGGAGUAGUGGGGCGAAUUAGCGGGACUGCCGUAGUUAAUACGGAGGAAGGAGAGGGCCACGGCAGGUCAGUAUGCCCCGAA